GGAUUAUCGGUCCCUCCAUCUGCCAGCCGGGCACAGAUUGCUAUGAUGAAGAGAAGCCCAGAGUGUCACAAAUGCUCAGAGCUGGAGCAUCCUACACCCCGCGAGGAUUAGUGAAAACAUCCUGGAGAUUGGACUCACCUUAAGUGACUCGGCUACAUCAAAUGCAGCUGGAUCCAGGGCAACCCAGUCAACGAUACGCCCCCAGGGUAAGCUAGUUCGUGGUUUCCUCCCAAAUCAAGCUCUCUCUCUUUUCCCAACAGUGUGGCUUUAAAUCUGUGGAUUGAGAGUUCUCUAGCUGGGCGUAAAUUCCUAUUGACCUUAACUAGAAAAACUUACCUUCCUCCAAAUCUGUUUAGAAAUGUGUCCCCCUGGGCCCUAAAGUGCUAUUUGAGUUUUUCAGCAUCUUUCAGCUCAAUGAGAGACUUAAAUGCCAACUCUGUGACUCAAGGACGGUGGAUGGAUUUGUCAACAUCUCUGGAGAAUUCAAUCAUGAAUCACUGAGCUGCAGGACAUCAAUGCAUGGCAAGGUGGACAAUUCUGAGCUCCAGCCACUGAAGUCUGCUGUUCAGAUGAGCUCUAACAGGCACCGGUAUCUACGGAGCGUUGUGCACUGAGGGUGCUUAUGGUUCCAAAAUGUUCACUGGGCCUGUCUAGAUCCGGCACUCACAU
Molecule: long non-coding RNA, 669 nt
Filed under: Equus asinus (donkey)
Lineage: Eukaryota; Metazoa; Chordata; Mammalia; Perissodactyla; Equidae
Description: lncRNA (ENSEASG00005034406.1)
Source: RNAcentral